RNAcentral lists this ribosomal RNA (672 nucleotides) under uncultured bacterium. RNAcentral's name for it is "bacterial SSU rRNA". It matches the Rfam family "Bacterial small subunit ribosomal RNA", at positions 54 to 745 of the family's 1533-position model. The record is from RNAcentral.
CAUGCAAGUCGAACGAAGCCCGGCCUUCGGGUCGGUGACUGAGUGGCAAACGGCUGAGUAACGCGUAGGUGAUCUGUCCCGAGGAGGGGAACAACCCGCGGAAACGCGAGCUAAUACCCCAUACGCCCACUGGUUCAGCCCGGUGGGGAAAUGUUCCGGCGCCUUGGGAGGAGCCUGCGUCCGAUUAGCUAGUUGGUGGGGUAACGGCCUACCAAGGCAGCGAUCGGUAGCUGGUCUGAGAGGAUGAUCAGCCAGACUGGGGCUGAGACACGGCCCAGACUCCUACGGGAGGCAGCAGCGAGGAAUCUUGCACAAUGGGCGAAAGCCUGAUGCAGCAACGCCGCGUGGGUGAUGAAGGCCUUAGGGUUGUAAAUCCCUUUUGCCGGGGAAGAAUUUUGACGGUACCCGGCGAAUAAGCCACGGCUAACUGCGUGCCAGCAGCCGCGGUAAGACGUAGGUGGCGAGCGUUAUCCGGAUUUACUGGGCGUAAAGCGUACGUAGGCGGCUCCAUAAGUCUGUCGUGAAAUCUCCCGGCUCAACCGGGAGCGGCCGAUGGAAACUGUGGCGCUCGAGGGGCGCAGAGGCAAGCGGAAUUCCCGGAGUAGUGGUGGAAUGCGUAGAUACCGGGAGGAACACCAGUGGCGCAAGCGGCUUGCCAGACGCAUCCUGACG